GACGAACGCUGGCGGCGUGCCUAACACAUGCAAGUCGAACGGGGUUACGAGAGCUUGCUCUUGUAACUUAGUGGCGAACGGGUGAGUAACGCGUGAGAAACCUGCCUCUCAGUGGGGGACAACAGUUGGAAACGACUGCUAAUACCGCAUAACACUUUAGUACCGCAUGGUACAGAAGUCAAAGCUUUAUGUGCUGAGAGAUGGUCUCGCGUCUGAUUAGCUAGAUGGCGGGGUAACGGCCCACCAUGGCGACGAUCAGUAGCCGGACUGAGAGGUUGACCGGCCACAUUGGGACUGAGAUACGGCCCAGACUCCUACGGGAGGCAGCAGUGGGGAAUAUUGGGCAAUGGGCGAAAGCCUGACCCAGCAACGCCGCGUGAAGGAAGAAGGCCUCGGUUGUAACUUACUUUAGUCAGGACGAAGGACGUGACGGUACC
RNAcentral lists this ribosomal RNA (437 nucleotides) under uncultured bacterium. Its description in RNAcentral is "bacterial SSU rRNA". It matches the Rfam family "Bacterial small subunit ribosomal RNA", at positions 28 to 479 of the family's 1533-position model. The record is from RNAcentral.